Molecule: non-coding RNA, 91 nt
Filed under: human gut metagenome
Also listed under: 1 other name
Description: THF riboswitch
Rfam family: THF (Tetrahydrofolate) riboswitch aptamer
About the family: THF riboswitch presents a pseudoknot that joins P1-P2 and the loop of P3 and two THF binding.
Source: RNAcentral
GCAGAGUAGCCGAGGCGCGUUAAGUGUUGCGAAACGGGACGUUGUUCGCAAACGAAAGGGGAUUCCCUGCGGUGCCGACGCGCGUCCGUUG